AAUUUGGAGACUUGUACAACCUCUGUAACAGAUACACUAUCAUUAUAAACAUCUACCAAGAAAAAGACAGCCAUACACUAUCAUUACAAACAUCCACCAAGAAAAAGACAGCCAAAAACAAGAAAUUGUUUUGGUAGCACAACCAAGGAAUGAUAAAAGCAACACUGAGUCCAGAAAAUUAUAUGUUCAACAACUUUAAAUAGAAGCCAAACACGAGUUGAUUAUAUUGUAACCCAAACUGUCAUUUUCACUAUGGAAAAUUGGUCACAGACCCAAGAGCACCAAAAAAAGACCUUAACACAAACACCCUAAAAUCCAAGUGCAUGCAUACCACAACUCAACUCAACUAAGUCUUU
RNAcentral lists this unclassified non-coding RNA (356 nucleotides) under Hevea brasiliensis (rubber tree). Lineage: Eukaryota; Viridiplantae; Streptophyta; Magnoliopsida; Malpighiales; Euphorbiaceae. The record is from RNAcentral.